RNAcentral lists this long non-coding RNA (427 nucleotides) under Bos indicus x Bos taurus (hybrid cattle). RNAcentral describes it as "lncRNA (ENSBIXG00005031001.1)". The record is from RNAcentral. Lineage: Eukaryota; Metazoa; Chordata; Mammalia; Artiodactyla; Bovidae.
CUCAGCCUGAGAAAUAAGAAUGGAUGUUAAAAGGUGCAAGAAACUUCGAAAACUACAGUGGGGAAGGAGAUUUUGAAGUUAACUUUGAAAAGGAAUCGCAGACCAAUGCAAUAGGAGGUACUUCCUGGACAUCCUUUCUGUGAUCUCACAGAGUCCCUUGGCCAUUCUGGUUGCCCAGCAUCUGAAGCUUCUUCCUACGUUUGGGGGAGUUUCUUGGUAAGAGUAGGAGCCUCUUCUCAUGCCAAGUUAAAGUUAAAAAAGUUAAAAAAAAAAAAAAAAAAAAAAAACGUAAAACAUAGCCAACUAUGCAGACUUCCUUGCAAGCUGGAAUUCAGGCCCAUGACAGGGGCCUCUUGCUCAGACUUUGAGUUUGGAGGUGACGCAAGUUGUAAUUAGCAAGUAACUUCAGGAGGGGAGCCUUCCCAGG